Molecule: ribosomal RNA, 689 nt
Filed under: uncultured beta proteobacterium
Lineage: Bacteria; Pseudomonadati; Pseudomonadota; Betaproteobacteria
Description: bacterial SSU rRNA
Rfam family: Bacterial small subunit ribosomal RNA
Source: RNAcentral
CUGGUGGCGAGUGGCGAACGGGUGAGUAAUAUAUCGGAACAUACCCAGUAGUGGGGGAUAACUAUCCGAAAGGAUAGCUAAUACCGCAUACGAUCUGUGGAUGAAAGCAGGGGAUCUUCGGACCUUGUGCUAUUGGAAUGGCCGAUAUCUGAUUAGCUAGUUGGUAGGGUAAAAGCCUACCAAGGCGACGAUCAGUAGCUGGUCUGAGAGGACGACCAGCCACACUGGAACUGAGACACGGUCCAGACUCCUACGGGAGGCAGCAGUGGGGAAUUUUGGACAAUGGGGGCAACCCUGAUCCAGCAAUGCCGCGUGAGUGAAGAAGGCCCUCGGGUUGUAAAGCUCUUUUGUCAGGGAAGAAACGGAGUUCUCUAAUAUAGGAUUCUAAUGACGGUACCUGAAGAAUAAGCACCGGCUAACUACGUGCCAGCAGCCGCGGUAAUACGUAGGGUGCAAGCGUUAAUCGGAAUUACUGGGCGUAAAGCGUGCGCAGGCGGUUUUGUAAGUCUGAUGUGAAAUCCCCGGGCUCAACCUGGGAACUGCAUUGGAGACUGCAAGGCUAGAGUGUGUCAGAGGGGGGUAGAAUUCCACGUGUAGCAGUGAAAUGCGUAGAGAUGUGGAGGAAUACCGAUGGCGAAGGCAGCCCCCUGGGAUAACACUGACGCUCAUGCACGAAAGCGUGGGGAGCA